This 342-nucleotide ribosomal RNA is filed under the name uncultured eukaryote. Its description in RNAcentral is "partial 18S ribosomal RNA". It matches the Rfam family "Eukaryotic small subunit ribosomal RNA", at positions 1470 to 1796 of the family's 1831-position model. The record is from RNAcentral.
CCCUUAGAUGUUCUGGGCCGCACGCGCGCUACACUGAUGGAUUCAACGAGUGUUGUUCUUCGGAGCAGAUCCUUGGUCGGAAGGCCUGGGCAAUCUUGUAAAUGUCCAUCGUGAUGGGGCUAGAUUUUUGCAAUUCUGAAUCUCCAACGAGGAAUUCCUAGUAAACGCAAGUCAUCAGCUUGCAUUGAUUACGUCCCUGCCCUUUGUACACACCGCCCGUCGCACCUACCGAUUGAAUGACUCGGUGAAAAAUUGGGACUGUGAUUGAAAUUGCUUCAUUGCGAAUUUAAUUAUGGAAACUUUCUUUAACCUAGGCAUUUAGAGGAAGGUGAAGUCGUAACA